This 240-nucleotide unclassified non-coding RNA is filed under the name uncultured Ascomycota. Its description in RNAcentral is "sequence contains 5.8S rRNA gene, ITS2, 28S rRNA gene". The record is from RNAcentral. Lineage: Eukaryota; Fungi; Ascomycota.
AACGCACAUCGCGCCCUUUGGCAUUCCGAGGGGCAUGCCUGUUCGAGCGUCAUUACACCACUCAAGCCUGGCUUGGUAUUGGGCGACGGGACCACCCCGCGCCUCAAUUGCACCGGCUGGACGACCCGUAUCUCAGCGUUGUGACACAAGUUCGCUGGCGAGAAGGGCGACCCACGCCGUUAAACAGUUCUAUUAUCUCAGGUUGACCUCGGAUCAGGUAGGAAUACCCGCUGAACUUAA